AUUGAACGCUGGCGGCAUGCCUUACACAUGCAAGUCGAACGGCAGCACGGGUGCUUGCACCUGGUGGCGAGUGGCGAACGGGUGAGUAAUACAUCGGAACAUGUCCUGUAGUGGGGGAUAUCCCGGCGAAAGCCGGAUUAAUACCGCAUCCGAUCUACGGAUGAAAGCGGGGGACCUUCGGGCCUCGCGCUAUCGGGUUGGCCUAUGGCUGAUUAGCUAUUUGGUGGGGUAAAGUCCUACCCAGUCGACGAUCAGUAGCUGGUCUGAGAGGACGACCAGCCACACUGGGACUGAGACACGGCCCAGACUCCUACGGGAGGCAGCAGUGGGGAAUUUUGGACAAUGGGCGAAAGCCUGAUCCAGCAAUGCCGCGUGUGUGAAGAAGGCCUUCGGGUUGUAAAGCACUUUUGUCCGGAAAGAAAUCCUUGGCCCUAAUACGGUCGGGGGAUGACGGUACCGGAAGAAUAAGCACCGGCUAACUACGUG
Molecule: ribosomal RNA, 486 nt
Filed under: uncultured bacterium
Lineage: Bacteria
Description: partial 16S ribosomal RNA
Rfam family: Bacterial small subunit ribosomal RNA
Source: RNAcentral